RNAcentral lists this long non-coding RNA (1237 nucleotides) under Ananas comosus (pineapple). RNAcentral describes it as "long non-coding RNA (ACOM_LNC009789)". The record is from RNAcentral. Lineage: Eukaryota; Viridiplantae; Streptophyta; Magnoliopsida; Poales; Bromeliaceae.
ACUACUAGAAAAUUAGUGGCAGUUAUUUAUGCUGCUAAAUGAUUAAUAAAUGCUGCUAAAAGGUUUAGCAGCAUAUGACACCAAAUGCUGCCUAUACCAAUGUUGCUAAAGUAUUAGCAGUAUUUAAUUUAUUAUAAAUGCCGCCAAUAUAAAUCAAUUAGUAUCAUUAGGAAUAUGCCGCUAAAAGGGAUUAAAUGCUAAUUUUAAAUUGUUUAUUAGUGGCAUAUAAAUAUAAUGGCGCUAAUACAAAUAUCUGACUUUAAAAAUUAAAAUUUUAAAAUUUUAAUUUUAUUUUUUUGACAUGCCACCCGCUUUAUUUAUUUUCUUUUGUCUUAAACUUUGCUGUAAAUGUGAAUAAACUAGAAUUCGAACUUUAGACCACGAGUACCAACAACCAAGCCCUUUGCCACUUGCGCUAGCGACUAUUAGUUAUGUAUAUUUUAAUUUUUUAUAUUUUAAGUCUUUUAUUUUAAAAUUUUUAAAUUUUUAAAUUUUAAAUUUUAAAAUUUUAAAUUUAGAUACUAAAUUUAAAUUUUUAAUUUUGAAAUAUGAAAUUUUAAGUUUCAAAAUUAAUAGUUUUAAAUUUAAAAUUUGAAAUUUAAAAUAAUUUUAAAAUUUUAAAAUUUUAAAAUUAAUAAUUUUAGAAUUAAAAUUUAAAAUAUAAAUUUUAGAAUUUUAAAUUUUAAAUUUAAGCUUAAUUUUUAAAAUUAUAUGUUUCGAAUUUUAAACUUUAAUUUUAAAAUUUUUAAUUCUAAAUAAAAAAUGGAUAUAUUAAUAAUUAUAUAUUAAUUAGUAAUGAUAUUUAGUAACAAGUGCUGCUAGUUUAUUAUAUUUAGCGGCAAUCACUAAUUUAUGCUGUUAAUUUAUCCUAUUUUGCAACAUUAAUAGUAAAUUGCUGCUAAAUAAUUAAAUCUAGCGACAAUUAUCAAGUAAUGCUGUUAAAUAUAUUAAUUAAUGUGAUUUAAAUAAAUAUUGCGGCAUUUAGUAAUAAGUGCUGUUAUUUUAUUACAUUUAGUGUCAUUUUUUAUAAAAUGCUAGAAACUUCGGCGGCAUUCACUAAUUUAUGCUGCUAAUGUAUUCUAUUUUGCAGCAUUAAUAGUAAAUUGCUGCUAAAUUAUUAAAUUUAGCGGCACUUAUCAAAUAAUGCUGUUAAAUAUAUUAAUUAGCGUUAUUUAAAUAAAUGUUGCGGAGUAAAUGCCGCUAAAUCACGAAUUUGUAGUAGUGCGAGUUGUCUGGG